This 494-nucleotide ribosomal RNA is filed under the name uncultured bacterium. RNAcentral describes it as "partial 16S ribosomal RNA". It matches the Rfam family "Bacterial small subunit ribosomal RNA", at positions 28 to 507 of the family's 1533-position model. The record is from RNAcentral.
GACGAACGCUGGCGGCGUGCUUAACCCAUGCAAGUCGAACGGUGAAGCGCCUUCCUUUUUGGUGGGUGUGGAUGAGUGGCGAACGGGUGAGUAACACGUGAGUAACCUGCCCCCUUCUUCUGGAUAACCGCAUGAAAGUGUGGCUAAUACGGGAUAUUCUGGGUCUGUCGCAUGAUGGGUCUGGGAAAGAUAUUGUUUCGGUGGGGGAUGGGCUCGCGGCCUAUCAGCUUGUUGGUGGGGUGAUGGCCUACCAAGGCGGUGACGGGUAGCCGGCCUGAGAGGGUGGACGGUCACACUGGGACUGAGACACGGCCCAGACUCCUACGGGAGGCAGCAGUGGGGAAUAUUGCACAAUGGGCGCAAGCCUGAUGCAGCGACGCCGCGUGAGGGAUGGAGGCCUUCGGGUUGUGAACCUCUUUCGCCAGUGAAGCAGGCCUGCCUCGUUUGUGGGUGGGUUGACGGUAGCUGGAGAAGAAGCGCCGGCUAACUACGUG